RNAcentral lists this transfer RNA (73 nucleotides) under Acanthothecis fontana. RNAcentral describes it as "tRNA-Pro". It matches the Rfam family "tRNA". Rfam says of the family: Transfer RNA (tRNA) molecules are approximately 80 nucleotides in length. Lineage: Eukaryota; Fungi; Ascomycota; Lecanoromycetes; Ostropales; Graphidaceae. The record is from RNAcentral.
CGGGUUAGAGCCGGGUUGGUGAGGCGUCUUAUUUGGGCCAAGAAAGUUUUAAGUUCGAAUCUUAAUAACCCGA